RNAcentral lists this non-coding RNA (119 nucleotides) under unclassified sequences. RNAcentral describes it as "drum RNA". It matches the Rfam family "drum RNA". From Rfam's summary of the family: Firmicutes, Bacteroidetes (1 example), Proteobacteria (2 examples), Spirochaetes (2 examples). The record is from Rfam by way of RNAcentral.
AGGCGUUGAAAUAUGGAACGUGCCGGAAAGCGUUUCAUAUGGAGUCAGUAAGGGUCUAAGCACUUACCGCGAUUCGGCUUACCUGCAUAUUAUUAUGCAAGGGACAUAAAGUGCUUCAC